AAUACGUUCCCGGGCCUUGUACACACCGCCCGUCACACCACGAAAGUCGGCAACACCCGAAGCCGGUGGCCCAACCUUUGGAGGAGCCGUCGAAGGUGGGGUUGGCGAUUGGGGUG
This 116-nucleotide ribosomal RNA is filed under the name uncultured bacterium. Its description in RNAcentral is "partial 16S ribosomal RNA". It matches the Rfam family "Bacterial small subunit ribosomal RNA", at positions 1365 to 1482 of the family's 1533-position model. The record is from RNAcentral.